This 382-nucleotide RNase P RNA is filed under the name Sinobaca qinghaiensis. Its description in RNAcentral is "Bacterial RNase P class B". It matches the Rfam family "Bacterial RNase P class B". Rfam says of the family: Ribonuclease P (RNase P) is a ubiquitous endoribonuclease, found in archaea, bacteria and eukarya as well as chloroplasts and mitochondria. Its best characterised activity is the generation of mature 5'-ends of tRNAs by cleaving the 5'-leader elements of precursor-tRNAs. The record is from Rfam by way of RNAcentral. Lineage: Bacteria; Bacillati; Bacillota; Bacilli; Caryophanales; Sporolactobacillaceae.
CAUUCUAGGCAAUCGCUGUACUCUUCGAUGAGUGCAGAGGAAAGUCCAUGCUCGCACAGCCUGGGAUGGCUGUAGUGUUCGUGCCUGACGAAUGCAUAAGUCAGGGCAUCUCUUUUAAGGGAUGACGGCGGAGAAGUAACCUACGUCGUCAAGAUAUGGUUACGGUAUCCUUAAUGUGCCACAGUGACGUAGUUUUUCCGGAAACGGAAAAAGUGGAACGGGGUAAACCCCUCGAGCGAGAAACCCAAAAUAAGGUAGGGGCGCCUUUCUGAAGGAACCAAACGGAAAGAAAGGGCAGAUUCGUCUGCAGAUAGAUGAUUGCCGCCGGAGUGCGAGGUUAAGAGCCGUUUUAGCACGAAGGAACAGAACAUGGCUUACAUGA